Long non-coding RNA from Macrobrachium nipponense, 385 nucleotides. RefSeq lists it as uncharacterized. The record is from RefSeq and is a predicted model, not a curated record. Lineage: Eukaryota; Metazoa; Arthropoda; Malacostraca; Decapoda; Palaemonidae. The transcript is spliced from 2 exons.
UUGAGCAGGCAAAAAGUGAUGUGUAGCCAAAUAUAAAGACAAAGAGAAGGCAAAAAGCAAUGGAUAUAUUUAGGAAUAUAGGUGUCCAAAGAUCUAUUUACUUUUUGUUUAUUUCAGGAAGUUAGGUGCAUCUCAAGUGCAGGCAGUAAAUGAAUACCAGCUGUCAGUAGCAGACACUGUGCAUUAAUGUGCAAGAUGAUGAACCAACCAAAACUGUUUUCAUUUCUUGGACACAUCAGGAUGAAGCCUUAGGAAGCAGACUGUUAGACAUCAUAAAAGCAAAUUUCAAGAAAACUUAACACUGGAGGAAGAAGGUCACAGAGAUCUGAUAAGACUGGUUUUUAUGUCAUAUGAAGGAAAUAAAUUUUAUACAUUAAAAAAAAAC